UCCAAAACUUCUGACAGAAUGGUUGAGAUGAGCACAAUUUAAGGAGAAUUCGAAGAAGAUGUUUCCCCCAUUUUUGACUUCUUCGGCUUUCUGUUCUCAGGUUCUCACCCCUACAAUGCCCUCCACUAUCCCUCCUGUUUCUCGCUAUUAGGGCAUUCACCGGAGGCCUCUGUUUCGCUCUAGCAGCGGCGUGGCGUUCAAAUUUUUUGUUUGCUCGUGGUAGCCCUGUAUAGCCCCUCGUGACAUCUAAGAAGGUUCUAAAGAAUAACUAAAAUAAUGACGGAGAAUCAGAUGAAUGAGGAUGUUUUUUCAGUAAAACCAUCGAAACCUAAGAUCCUCAUUGCUGCUUCUGGAAGUGUAGCCGCAAUUAAGUUCCAAGCUCUUUGCUGCUCUUUUACAGAAUGGGCUGAAGUUAAAGCUGUUAUGACUCAAUCAUCUUUACACUUCAUAGAUAAAGCUUCAUUUCCAGAGAAUGUUGUGCUUUACACAGAUGAGGAUGAAUUGUCUUCUUGGAAGAAGCCAAGCGAUGAAGUGCUGCACAUCGAGCUGCGAAAAUGGGCAGAUUGUAUGGUUAUAGCACCAUUGUCAGCAAAUACGCUAGCCAAGAUUGCAGGAGGAUUAUCCGACAACCUGCUGACAAACAUUGUAAGAGCUUGGGAUUACAGCAAACCUCUGUACAUUGCACCCGCCAUGAAUACUUUCAUGUGGAACAAUCCUUUUACGAAGAAUCAUCUUCAUUCAAUUUGUCAGCUUGGGAUAACCAUGAUUCCCCCUAUGACAAAGAGAUUGGCUUGUGGAGAUUAUGGAAAUGGUGCCAUGGCUGAGCCUUCUACCAUCUAUAAUACGGUAGUGCUCUCCUUAACUAAAGGUAGGAUUGUAAAUGAAUCAAGUCCAACGGAGUAAUUACUCUUACUCUUCUCGAGUUUAACUCAUGUUUGAAGAUUACCUGGGAUUAGAAUCUUGUUAUAAGUUUGUUUUUUAGUUUUCUUAUCCAGUUUGAGUUUCAAUAGAGCCUAGUUAAUUAUAAAUUGGGGCAUUUAAAUACAAACCACUUAAGAAGAGAAAAGGGAGGUGGAGGGAUGCGAGUUUUCUAUGGGAAGGUAGAAAGAGAGGAUAAACCGAACUCGGGAAGGAAGGACUUCGGCUUGCUGCUCUGUGUUGAAGAGGAGUCAAUUAUCGCACGCAACCACAAGAGCAGACAAGGAAAGGGACUUGUGUGCGGGAACACGAUUCUUAAACAAGGAGAAAAGGUAUGACAUAUGGAGCGAAGAGGAGUUAAAAUGGAGCGAAACAGAGCAUAUUGGAACCAGUAGUCUGGUGCUUAAGCGCCAAGGCCCUCCACCAAGCAUCUUGGCGCCAGCUUACUGGGAGCCUAGUCGCCAUAACCCAGUCGGGUAAAUUGAGAGGCCGACGCUUUUGCGCCAAGGCGCUGGCUAGUUUCUGGACAGUUUUCUGCAGUUACGUAGGCACGACUUGGGGAGCAUUGGAAAGCAUUCUGAAGCCUUGAAAAGUGAAGGAAGGCAGAGGUGUCGUAGUCUAAAGUUAGGGUUUUGUAUUUUUCACUUUCUUGGAGAGAAUUCUAUAAGGGGAUAUACUCAACAUUGCAAGGAGCUCUUGAAAACGUUUUAAG
RNA transcript from Phalaenopsis equestris, 1630 nucleotides. It is a transcript of the gene named phosphopantothenoylcysteine decarboxylase-like, with no coding region annotated. The record is from RefSeq and is a predicted model, not a curated record. NCBI's taxonomy places the organism in Eukaryota, Viridiplantae, Streptophyta, Magnoliopsida, Asparagales, Orchidaceae. The transcript has 4 exons.